GCGCAUGUGGCGUAAUUGGUAGCCGCGUUAGACUUAGGAUCUAAUGUCUCCGGACGUAUGGGUUCGAGUCCCAUCUUGCGCA
Molecule: transfer RNA, 82 nt
Filed under: Muribaculaceae bacterium
Lineage: Bacteria; Pseudomonadati; Bacteroidota; Bacteroidia; Bacteroidales; Muribaculaceae
Description: tRNA-Leu
Rfam family: tRNA
About the family: Transfer RNA (tRNA) molecules are approximately 80 nucleotides in length. Their secondary structure includes four short double-helical elements and three loops (D, anti-codon, and T loops).
Source: RNAcentral